Molecule: ribosomal RNA, 492 nt
Filed under: uncultured bacterium
Lineage: Bacteria
Description: partial 16S ribosomal RNA
Rfam family: Bacterial small subunit ribosomal RNA
Source: RNAcentral
AGUGAACGCUGGCGGUAGGCCUAACACAUGCAAGUCGAACGGCAGCACAGUAAGAGCUUGCUCUUACGGGUGGCGAGUGGCGGACGGGUGAGGAAUACAUCGGAAUCUACUUUUUCGUGGGGGAUAACGUAGGGAAACUUACGCUAAUACCGCAUACGACCUACGGGUGAAGGCAGGGGAUCUUCGGACCUUGCGCGAUUGAAUGAGCCGAUGUCGGAUUAGCUAGUUGGCGGGGUAAAGGCCCACCAAGGCGACGAUCCGUAGCUGGUCUGGGAGGAUGAUCAGCCACACUGGAACUGAGACACGGUCCAGACUCCUACGGGAGGCAGCAGUGGGGAAUAUUGGACAAUGGGCGCAAGCCUGAUCCAGCCAUACCGCGUGGGUGAAGAAGGCCUUCGGGUUGUAAAGCCCUUUUGUUGGGAAAGAAAAGCAGCAGGUUAAUACCCCGCUGUUCUGACGGUACCCAAAGAAUAAGCACCGGCUAACUUCGUG